UACGGAGGGGGCAAGCGUUAUUCGGAAUUAUUGGGCGUAAAGGGCGCGUAGGCGGCUAGAUGUGUCAAAGGUGAAAUCCCUCGGCUCAACUGAGGAACUGCUUUUGAAACUGUCUGGCUUGAGGCCGGGAGAGGGUAGCGGAAUUCCCAGUGUAGCGGUGAAAUGCGUAGAUAUUGGGAGGAACACCAGUGGCGAAGGCGGCUACCUGGACCGGUUCUGACGCUGAGGCGCGAAAGCUAGGGGAGCAAACAGG
RNAcentral lists this ribosomal RNA (253 nucleotides) under uncultured bacterium. Its description in RNAcentral is "partial 16S ribosomal RNA". It matches the Rfam family "Bacterial small subunit ribosomal RNA", at positions 524 to 776 of the family's 1533-position model. The record is from RNAcentral.